Molecule: long non-coding RNA, 1778 nt
Filed under: Citrus sinensis (sweet orange)
Lineage: Eukaryota; Viridiplantae; Streptophyta; Magnoliopsida; Sapindales; Rutaceae
Description: long non-coding RNA (CSIN_LNC003150)
Source: RNAcentral
UCAUUUCUUCUCUCAAUAAGGAAGAUCCACUCCAGAAUCAAAAUCCUACUAAAAAUCAGAAAUAUUUAGCUGAGCAGAUCUCGAUCUAGUUAUUACCAAGCAAAAAACAAUUAACUCAUAAAAAAGUCUUGUAGCCAGAAUAAUCUGUAGAAGUUUUUAAGCUCCUAUUCAAUUUCCUGCUGUAUUCUUAGAAGAUAUUUCAAGUGAUUUAUUCAGCAUGUAUUGUUACUAAAUUAUUUAGUUAUUCUCUAAUAGAGAAAUUCACUCCUUUGUAAACUUUUAUGUGCUUAUAAAUAAACAAGUUUUAUGUUACUAAUCUUUCCUUAUGAAUCAAGUUUCUUUUUUAUUUGUUCUUAAGGAAUAUUUUCAAUCUGUGAAGAAUAAAAUUAAGCUCUAGAGAAAAACUGAAGUUUCUAGAAAAACCCAAAAGCCCUGAAAAAGGACUCAGAGUGCCAAGUUUUACUCCUAAAGAAUUGUUUUAGUCAAAAGAUAGGCGUUUUAGGGAAGAAGAAAGGCUUUGUGUUGGGAUUUGCAUGCCCCUAAGGGAAGAAGGUUUUGAAAAAACUUUGGUUUUAAUUGAAAAGUUAGAUUUUAAACUCUAAACUUUUAGAAAACAAUUUUCAGAAGAAACCUAAUUUUCGUUAGUAUUUGGACAAAAUAAUUUGUUAUCCAAUUUGACAGAAGUUUGGAAAAGAAUUGGGGAGUAUCUAGUAGAGGAAAAUAAUUGUUUAUAAGAUUGUUAGAUGUUAAAACUUAACUUGCAUGCCUUUAGACAAUUAUACUUGUUUUAUUUUAUAGCACUAUUUUGUUGAAGCAUUUAGCAAAUAUAUUAAACAACUUGAUAAUUUAGGAAGAUUAGUGUAAUAGAAAGUCAUAUAGAUUGUAAUAUUAAACUUAGAAUUAUCGCCAAUAGAAGAAUAGAAAUAACAUUUAACCAGAGAUAUAAUAUAGGAUAUAAUACAAAAAAACAGUAAUCCUGAAUGAUUAAUUUAGAAGAAGUUAUAAUUGAUAAUAUUAUAAAUAGUAAGUUUUCAGCAUUAUUUACUUUCCGUUGUUCACAACUUAGUAGACCUAAAUUAGUAACUAUAUUAGAAUAUCUUAAAAAUCAGUCGAGAAUAAUACAUAAAGGAGUUCCAAUUACCGGAAUCAAAAUUCGAGUAGUUGAGGGAUUGAUAGAAGAAGUUUAGAAGUAUUUACAUUUUCUUAGAAAGAUUUAGCAAAUCUAGCAGAAAGACCAUUUUUGUACUAAGUUUGGUGUGAAUAUCACUACUAAUAGCAUAAACAUUAAUAGAUCUCACCGUAAAUACACCAAACUUGGCAAACUUUAGGUCCUUAGUGGUGUGGUUAAGGUGGUAUGCCUGACUAUUGAAGUAUUUAUGUAGGUCUUCAUUGGUUUAACUGAGGUGGUGCUACAAAAAGUUAUGUCAAAAAAGACUACAGAGCAGAGAAUGACAAGGGUAUUUUUGUAAUUUUUGGAUAUUUUUGUAAUUUUUGCAUUAAAAGGGAUGGUAAAAUAGCUAGAGUUAAAAGCAAUGGAUGCACUUUUAUCACAAAUAUCCUAAAGCACACUAAACAAACAGAGGGAGUCACUGUGCAAGCAUUUCAUUUUCACUUUCGAAAUUCUACUUUACUCCUAAAUAGUAACAGAGGUUAAACCAAAAUAUGUCCAAUAAAAUAUCAUUUGAUAUACUCAUAGAGAUUUUCUCCAGACAACCAAUGAAGAGUUGAAUCUCUUACAAUUCAAAUGUACUUCCAAAACAUGCUACCAUGUUUUCCAU